UUAAAUCAGUUAUCGUCUAUUUGAUAGUACCUUACUACUUGGAUAACCGUGGUAAUUCUAGAGCUAAUACAUGCUGCAAAGCCCGACUUCGGAAGGGUUGUAUUUAUUAGAUUAAAAACCAAUGCCCUCCGGGGCUCACUGGUGAUUCAUGAUAACUUCUCGAAUCGCACGGCCUUGCGCCGGCGAUGGUUCAUUCAAAUUUCUGCCCUAUCAACUUUCGACGGCUGGGUCUUGGCCAGCCGUGGUGACAACGGGUAACGGAGGGUUAGGGCUCGACCCCGGAGAAGGAGCCUGAGAAACGGCUACUACAUCCAAGGAAGGCAGCAGGCGCGCAAAUUACCCAAUCCCGACACGGGGAGGUAGUGACAAUAAAUACUGAUACAGGGCUCUUUUGGGUCUUGUAAUUGGAAUGAGUACAAUUUAAUUCCCUUAACGAGGAACAAUUGGAGGGCAAGUCUGGUGCCAGCAGCCGCGGUAAUUCCAGCUCCAAUAGCGUAUAUUAAAGUUGUUGCAGUUAAAAAGCUCGUAGUUGAACCUUGGGCCUGGCUGGCCGGUCCGCCUCACCGCGUGCACUGGUCCGGCCGGGCCUUUCCCUCUGGGGAGCCGCAUGCCCUUCACUGGGCGUGCCGGGGAACCAGGACGUUUACUUUGAAAAAAUUAGAGUGUUCAAAGCAGGCUUAUGCUCGGAUACAUUAGCAUGGAAUAAUAGAAUAGGACGCGUGGUUCUAUUUUGUUGGUUUCUAGGACCGCCGUAAUGAUUAAUAGGGACAGUCGGGGGCAUCAGUAUUCAGCUGUCAGAGGUGAAAUUCUUGGAUUUGCUGAAGACUAACUACUGCGAAAGCAUUUGCCAAGGAUGUUUUCAUUAAUCAGGAACGAAAGUUAGGGGAUCGAAGACGAUCAGAUACCGUCGUAGUCUUAACCAUAAACUAUGCCGACUAGGGAUCGGACGGUGUUAUUCUUUGACCCGUUCGGCACCUUACACGAAAGUACAAGU
RNAcentral lists this ribosomal RNA (994 nucleotides) under Raffaelea subalba. RNAcentral's name for it is "SSU rRNA". It matches the Rfam family "Eukaryotic small subunit ribosomal RNA", at positions 101 to 1104 of the family's 1831-position model. The record is from RNAcentral. Lineage: Eukaryota; Fungi; Ascomycota; Sordariomycetes; Ophiostomatales; Ophiostomataceae.